GCGGUCCUAGCCCAACUGGGAGAGGCACCAGGCCGAGAUCCUGGCCAGUGGGGGUUCGACUCCCCCGGACCGCACCA
RNAcentral lists this transfer RNA (77 nucleotides) under Kibdelosporangium persicum. RNAcentral's name for it is "tRNA-Leu(gag)". It matches the Rfam family "tRNA". From Rfam's summary of the family: Transfer RNA (tRNA) molecules are approximately 80 nucleotides in length. Their secondary structure includes four short double-helical elements and three loops (D, anti-codon, and T loops). The record is from RNAcentral. Lineage: Bacteria; Bacillati; Actinomycetota; Actinomycetes; Pseudonocardiales; Pseudonocardiaceae.